GACGAACGCUGGCGGCGUGCUUAACACAUGCAAGUCGAACGGAAAGGCCCUGCUUUUGUGGGGUGCUCGAGUGGCGAACGGGUGAGUAACACGUGAGUAACCUGCCCUUGACUUUGGGAUAACUUCAGGAAACUGGGGCUAAUACCGGAUAGGAGCUCCUGCUGCAUGGUGGGGGUUGGAAAGUUUCGGCGGUUGGGGAUGGACUCGCGGCUUAUCAGCUUGUUGGUGGGGUAGUGGCUUACCAAGGCUUGACGGGUAGCCGGCCUGGGAGGGUGACCGGCCACAUUGGGACUGAGAUACGGCCCAGACUCCUACGGGAGGCAGCAGUGGGGAAUAUUGCACAAUGGGCGGAAGCCUGAUGCAGCAACGCCGCGUGCGGGAUGACGGCCUUCGGGUUGUAAACCGCUUUCGCCUGUGACGAAGCGUGAGUGACGGUAAUGGGUAAAGAAGCACCGGCUAACUACGUG
Molecule: ribosomal RNA, 467 nt
Filed under: uncultured bacterium
Lineage: Bacteria
Description: partial 16S ribosomal RNA
Rfam family: Bacterial small subunit ribosomal RNA
Source: RNAcentral